GGGUAAUGUCUGGUCGUAGGCCGGGGUAAGAGGUAUGUGGGAAGCGUUAUCCGGAAUUAUGGGGCAUAAAGUGCGGCUAGGCGGUUGAUUAAGUCUGAUGUGAAUAUGCGGGGCUCAACUCCGUAUUGCGUUGGAAACUGGUAGACUAGAGUAUUGGAGAGGUAGGCGGAACUACAAGUGUAGAGGUGAAAUUCGUAGAUAUUUGGAGGAACACCAGUGGCGAAGGCGCCUUUCUGGACUGUGUCUGACGCUGAGAUGCGAAAGCCAGGGUAGCGAACGGGAUUAGAUACCCCGGUAGUC
RNAcentral lists this ribosomal RNA (300 nucleotides) under uncultured Lactobacillus sp. RNAcentral describes it as "bacterial SSU rRNA". It matches the Rfam family "Bacterial small subunit ribosomal RNA", at positions 495 to 795 of the family's 1533-position model. Lineage: Bacteria; Bacillati; Bacillota; Bacilli; Lactobacillales; Lactobacillaceae. The record is from RNAcentral.